RNAcentral lists this ribosomal RNA (434 nucleotides) under uncultured bacterium. RNAcentral's name for it is "bacterial SSU rRNA". It matches the Rfam family "Bacterial small subunit ribosomal RNA", at positions 957 to 1391 of the family's 1533-position model. The record is from RNAcentral.
GAACGCGAAGAACCUUACCUGGGUUUGACAUGCACAGGACGUGCUAGAGAUAGGUAUUCCCUUGUGGCCUGUGUGCAGGUGGUGCAUGGCUGUCGUCAGCUCGUGUCGUGAGAUGUUGGGUUAAGUCCCGCAACGAGCGCAACCCUUAUCUUAUGUUGCCAGCGCGUAAUGGCGGGGACUCGUGAGAGACUGCCGGGGUCAACUCGGAGGAAGGUGGGGAUGACGUCAAGUCAUCAUGCCCCUUAUGUCCAGGGCUUCACACAUGCUACAAUGGCCGGUACAAAGGGCUGCGAUGCCGUGAGGUGGAGCGAAUCCUUUCAAAGCCGGUCUCAGUUCGGAUCGGGGUCUGCAACUCGACCCCGUGAAGUCGGAGUCGCUAGUAAUCGCAGAUCAGCAACGCUGCGGUGAAUACGUUCCCGGGUCUUGUACACACC